GGGGGGGGGGGGGGGGGGGGGGGGGGGGGGGGGGGGGGGCGGGGCGGGCGGGUAGGGUGGCGCCGUGGUGCGUAGCGGGUGGGCACCGGCCCCUAGGCUGGGGAGAGCGCCCCGAGUGGGGGGCUAACCCCGGGUAAGCGCAGACUGCCAAAGAUUUAUCGCCUUUGGAUGGGCCCGCGUUGGAUUAGCUAGUUGGUAGGGGAAAAGCCUACCAAGGCGACGAUCCAUAGCUGGUCUGAGAGGAUGAUCAGCCACACUGGGACUGAGACACGGCCCAGACUCCUACGGGAGGCAGCAGUGGGGAAUAUUGGACAAUGGGCGAAAGCCUGAUCCAGCAAUGCCGCGUGAGUGAUGAAGGCCUUAGGGUUGUAAAGCUCUUUUACCCGGGAUGAUAAUGACAGUACCGGGAGAAUAAGCUCCGGCUAACUCCGUG
RNAcentral lists this ribosomal RNA (433 nucleotides) under uncultured bacterium. RNAcentral describes it as "partial 16S ribosomal RNA". It matches the Rfam family "Bacterial small subunit ribosomal RNA", at positions 39 to 507 of the family's 1533-position model. The record is from RNAcentral.